GGGUUGUGAGGUUAAGCGACUAAGCGUACACGGUGGAUGCCCUGGCAGUCAGAGGCGAUGAAGGACGUGCUAAUCUGCGAUAAGCGUCGGUAAGGUGAUAUGAACCGUUAUAACCGGCGAUUUCCGAAUGGGGAAACCCAGUGUGUUUCGACACACUAUCAUUAACUGAAUCCAUAGGUUAAUGAGGCGAACCGGGGGAACUGAAACAUCUAAGUACCCCGAGGAAAAGAAAUCAACCGAGAUUCCCCCAGUAGCGGCGAGCGAACGGGGAGCAGCCCAGAGCCUGAAUCAGUAUGUGUGUUAGUGGAAGCGUCUGGAAAGGCGCGCGAUACAGGGUGACAGCCCCGUACACAAAAAUGCACAUGCUGUGAGCUCGAUGAGUAGGGCGGGACACGUGGUAUCCUGUCUGAAUAUGGGGGGACCAUCCUCCAAGGCUAAAUACUCCUGACUGACCGAUAGUGAACCAGUACCGUGAGGGAAAGGCGAAAAGAACCCCGGCGAGGGGAGUGAAAAAGAACCUGAAACCGUGUACGUACAAGCAGUGGGAGCACGCUUAGGCGUGUGACUGCGUACCUUUUGUAUAAUGGGUCAGCGACUUAUAUUCUGUAGCAAGGUUAACCGAAUAGGGGAGCCGAAGGGAAACCGAGUCUUAACUGGGCGUUAAGUUGCAGGGUAUAGACCCGAAACCCGGUGAUCUAGCCAUGGGCAGGUUGAAGGUUGGGUAACACUAACUGGAGGACCGAACCGACUAAUGUUGAAAAAUUAGCGGAUGACUUGUGGCUGGGGGUGAAAGGCCAAUCAAACCGGGAGAUAGCUGGUUCUCCCCGAAAGCUAUUUAGGUAGCGCCUCGUGAAUUCAUCUCCGGGGGUAGAGCACUGUUUCGGCAAGGGGGUCAUCCCGACUUACCAACCCGAUGCAAACUGCGAAUACCGGAGAAUGUUAUCACGGGAGACACACGGCGGGUGCUAACGUCCGUCGUGAAGAGGGAAACAACCCAGACCGCCAGCUAAGGUCCCAAAGUCAUGGUUAAGUGGGAAACGAUGUGGGAAGGCCCAGACAGCCAGGAUGUUGGCUUAGAAGCAGCCAUCAUUUAAAGAAAGCGUAAUAGCUCACUGGUCGAGUCGGCCUGCGCGGAAGAUGUAACGGGGCUAAACCAUGCACCGAAGCUGCGGCAGCGACGCUGAUGCGUUGUUGGGUAGGGGAGCGUUCUGUAAGCCUGCGAAGGUGUGCUGUGAGGCAUGCUGGAGGUAUCAGAAGUGCGAAUGCUGACAUAAGUAACGAUAAAGCGGGUGAAAAGCCCGCUCGCCGGAAGACCAAGGGUUCCUGUCCAACGUUAAUCGGGGCAGGGUGAGUCGACCCCUAAGGCGAGGCCGAAAGGCGUAGUCGAUGGGAAACAGGUUAAUAUUCCUGUACUUGGUGUUACUGCGAAGGGGGGACGGAGAAGGCUAUGUUGGCCGGGCGACGGUUGUCCCGGUUUAAGCGUGUAGGCUGGUUUUCCAGGCAAAUCCGGAAAAUCAAGGCUGAGGCGUGAUGACGAGGCACUACGGUGCUGAAGCAACAAAUGCCCUGCUUCCAGGAAAAGCCUCUAAGCAUCAGGUAACAUCAAAUCGUACCCCAAACCGACACAGGUGGUCAGGUAGAGAAUACCAAGGCGCUUGAGAGAACUCGGGUGAAGGAACUAGGCAAAAUGGUGCCGUAACUUCGGGAGAAGGCACGCUGAUAUGUAGGUGAAGUCCCUCGCGGAUGGAGCUGAAAUCAGUCGAAGAUACCAGCUGGCUGCAACUGUUUAUUAAAAACACAGCACUGUGCAAACACGAAAGUGGACGUAUACGGUGUGACGCCUGCCCGGUGCCGGAAGGUUAAUUGAUGGGGUUAGCGCAAGCGAAGCUCUUGAUCGAAGCCCCGGUAAACGGCGGCCGUAACUAUAACGGUCCUAAGGUAGCGAAAUUCCUUGUCGGGUAAGUUCCGACCUGCACGAAUGGCGUAAUGAUGGCCAGGCUGUCUCCACCCGAGACUCAGUGAAAUUGAACUCGCUGUGAAGAUGCAGUGUACCCGCGGCAAGACGGAAAGACCCCGUGAACCUUUACUAUAGCUUGACACUGAACAUUGAGCCUUGAUGUGUAGGAUAGGUGGGAGGCUUUGAAGUGUGGACGCCAGUCUGCAUGGAGCCGACCUUGAAAUACCACCCUUUAAUGUUUGAUGUUCUAACGUUGACCCGUAAUCCGGGUUGCGGACAGUGUCUGGUGGGUAGUUUGACUGGGGCGGUCUCCUCCUAAAGAGUAACGGAGGAGCACGAAGGUUGGCUAAUCCUGGUCGGACAUCAGGAGGUUAGUGCAAUGGCAUAAGCCAGCUUGACUGCGAGCGUGACGGCGCGAGCAGGUGCGAAAGCAGGUCAUAGUGAUCCGGUGGUUCUGAAUGGAAGGGCCAUCGCUCAACGGAUAAAAGGUACUCCGGGGAUAACAGGCUGAUACCGCCCAAGAGUUCAUAUCGACGGCGGUGUUUGGCACCUCGAUGUCGGCUCAUCACAUCCUGGGGCUGAAGUAGGUCCCAAGGGUAUGGCUGUUCGCCAUUUAAAGUGGUACGCGAGCUGGGUUUAGAACGUCGUGAGACAGUUCGGUCCCUAUCUGCCGUGGGCGCUGGAGAAUUGAGGGGGGCUGCUCCUAGUACGAGAGGACCGGAGUGGACGCAUCACUGGUGUUCGGGUUGUCAUGCCAAUGGCACUGCCCGGUAGCUAAAUGCGGAAGAGAUAAGUGCUGAAAGCAUCUAAGCACGAAACUUGCCCCGAGAUGAGUUCUCCCUGACUCCUUGAGAGUCCUGAAGGAACGUUGAAGACGACGACGUUGAUAGGCCGGGUGUGUAAGCGCAGCGAUGCGUUGAGCUAACCGGUACUAAUGAACCGUGAGGCUUAACCUUACAACGCCGAAGGUGUUU
This 2931-nucleotide ribosomal RNA is filed under the name Escherichia coli. Its description in RNAcentral is "23S ribosomal RNA". It matches the Rfam family "Bacterial large subunit ribosomal RNA". The record is from RNAcentral. Lineage: Bacteria; Pseudomonadati; Pseudomonadota; Gammaproteobacteria; Enterobacterales; Enterobacteriaceae.